AGUUCGUCAUGGCUCAGAUUGAACGCUGGCGGGAUGCUUUACACAUGCAGUCGAACGGCAGCACGGACUUCGGUCUGGUGGCGAGUGGCGAACAGGGGUGAUAAUGUAUCGGAACGUGCCUAUUAUUAGCCCUGGCAGGGGGAUAACUACGCGAAAGCGUAGCUAAUACCGCAUACGCCCUUCGGGGAAAGCGAAGGACCUUCGGGCUCGCACUAUUAAACGGCCGAUAUCGGAUUAGCUAGUUGGUGGGGUAACGGCUCGCAAGGCGACGAUCAGCGGCUGGACGAGAGGAUGACCAGCCACUGGGACUGGGAGCGGCGAACUCCUACGGGAGGCAGCAGUGGGGAGUACGGACAAUGGAAACCACAGUCCAGCCAUCCCCGCGUGUGCGAUGAAGGCCUUCGGGUUGUAAAAGCACUUUUGGCGGAAAAGCGGCGCAGGAUAAUACCCCGUGCAACUGACGAGCCCGCACCUGCAGAAUAAGCACCGGCCCCUAACUACAUUCCUGCCAGCAGCCGCGGUAAUACGUAGGGUGCAAGCGUUAAUCGGAAUUACUGGGCGUAAAGCGUGCACAGGCGGUUCGGAGAAAGAAGAUGAAAUCGAGCUUAACUUUGGAACUGCAUUUUUAACACCGACUAGAGAGUGUGGGGGAGGUGGAAUUCCGCGUGUAGCAGUGAAAUGCGUAGAUAUGCGGAGGAACACCGAUGGCGAAGGCAGCCUCCUGGGAUAACACUGACGCUCAUGCACACAACGUGAGGCAAACAGGAUUAGAUACCCUGGUAGUCCACGCCUAAACGAUGUCAACUAGCUGUUACAGGGCCUUCGGGCCUUGGUAGCGCAACUAACGCGUGAAGUUGACCGCCUGGGGAAUACGGUCGCAGAUUAAAACUCAAAGGAAUUGACGGGGACCGCACAAGCGGUGGAUGAUGUGGAUUAAUUCGAUGCAACACGAAAAACCUUACCUACCCUUGACAUGUCUGGAAUCCCGAAGAGAUUUGGGAGUGCUCGCGAGAGAACCGGAACACGGGUGCUGCAUGGCUGUGUCGGCUCUGUGUCGUGAGAUGUUGGGUUAAGUCCACAACGAGCGCAACCCUUGUCAUUAGUUGCUACGAAGGGCACUCUAAUGAGACUGCCGGUGACAAACCGGAGGAAGGUGGGGAUGACGUCAAGUCCUCAUGGCCCGCUAUGGGUAGGGCUACACGUCAUACAAUGGUGGGGUGGGGGUCGCCAACCCGCGAGAAGGAGCCAAUCCCAGAAACCCGAUCGUAGUCCGGAUCGCAGUCUGCAACUCGACUGCGUGAAGUCAGAAUCGCUAGUAAUCGCGGAUCAGCAUGUCGCGGUGAAUACGUUCCCGGGUCUGUACACACCGCCCGUCACACCAUGGAGUGGUUUUACCAGAAGUAGUUAACCUAACCGUAAGGAGGGGGCGAUUACCACGGUAGGAUUCAUAUUGGGGUGAAGUCGUAACAAGGUAGCUCUGUUAC
RNAcentral lists this ribosomal RNA (1484 nucleotides) under uncultured Bordetella sp. RNAcentral describes it as "partial 16S-23S ribosomal RNA intergenic spacer". It matches the Rfam family "Bacterial small subunit ribosomal RNA". The record is from RNAcentral. Lineage: Bacteria; Pseudomonadati; Pseudomonadota; Betaproteobacteria; Burkholderiales; Alcaligenaceae.